GGAUGAAUAUUGGUCAAUGGGCGGAAGCCUGAACCAGCCAAGUAGCGUGAGGGAUGACUGCCCUAUGGGUUGUAAACCUCUUUUAUAAGGGAAUAAAAUACGGGACGUGUCCUGUUUUGCAUGUACCUUAUGAAUAAGGACCGGCUAAUUCCGUGCCAGCAGCCGCGGUAAUACGGAAGGUCCGGGCGUUAUCCGGAUUUAUUGGGUUUAAAGGGAGCGCAGGCGGUCUUAUAAGUCAGCGGUGAAAGCGUGUGGCUCAACCAUACAAUUGCCGUUGAUACUGGUAGUCUUGAGUGUAAACGAGGUAGGCGGAAUGUGAUGUGUAGCGGUGAAAUGCUUGGAUAUGUCACAGAACCCCGAUUGCGAAGGCAGCUUACCAGGAUACGACUGACGCUGAGGCACGAAAGCGUGGGUAUCAAACAGGAUUAGAUACCCUGGUAGU
This 442-nucleotide ribosomal RNA is filed under the name uncultured Prevotella sp. RNAcentral describes it as "bacterial SSU rRNA". It matches the Rfam family "Bacterial small subunit ribosomal RNA", at positions 355 to 794 of the family's 1533-position model. The record is from RNAcentral. Lineage: Bacteria; Pseudomonadati; Bacteroidota; Bacteroidia; Bacteroidales; Prevotellaceae.